This 414-nucleotide ribosomal RNA is filed under the name Triticum aestivum (bread wheat). RNAcentral describes it as "partial small subunit ribosomal RNA". Lineage: Eukaryota; Viridiplantae; Streptophyta; Magnoliopsida; Poales; Poaceae. The record is from RNAcentral.
AUGGCGCGAAUCCAGGCAGGCAUGGUCACGUCGGGUCUGCUUCGGCGUAGCGUGAGGCCGCUCUUGGGUUCGGGAUCCCGCUCUACGCCCAUCUCUUCUCCUCCCCAGUCCGAACACCCUCCCCUCUCUCCUCAACUCGUUCCCUUCUCCCCCGGCGCGCGUCGCCUCGCGCUUGCCGUCCACGCCCACGCCCACACUGUCAGGCUCGGACUCACGGAAUUCCUCCUCGUGAACAACUCGCUCAUCCGCGUCCACGCGGGUCUGCUCGGCCGCCUAUCCGACGUGCACCUUCUUCUGCACUCCUCGGGUACUGGGGAUCACGCUCAUCACCUCGGACGCGAGGGCGGGGCGAGUCGCCGGUGCUCAGUCACUGUUCGACGGAAUGCCUGCAAGGAAUGUUGUGCGCCCUGGUGA